CGGGGGGCGUGCUAAUACAUGCAGUCGAACGCUUCUUUUUCCACCGGAGCUUGCUCCACCGGAAAAAGAGGAGUGGCGAACGGGUGAGUAACACGCGGGUAACCUGCCCAUCAGAAGGGGAUAACACUUGGAAACAGGUGCUAAUACCGUAUAACAAUCAAAACCGCAUGGUUUUGAUUUGAAAGGCGCUUUCGGGUGUCGCUGAUGGAUGGACCCGCGGUGCAUUAACUAGUUGGUGAGGUAACGGCUCACCAAGGCCACGAUGCAUAGCCGACCUGAGAGGGUGAUCGGCCACAUUGGGACUGAGACACGGCCCAAACUCCUACGGGAGGCAGCAGUAGGGAAUCUUCGGCAAUGGACGAAAGUCUGACCGAGCAACGCCGCGUGAGUGAAGAAGGUUUUCGGAUCGUAAAACUCUGUUGUUAGAGAAGAACAAGGAUGAGAGUAACUGUUCAUCCCUUGACGGUAUCUAACCAGAAAGCCACGGCUAACUACGUGCCAGCAGCCGCGGUAAUACGUAGGUGGCAAGCGUUGUCCGGAUUUAUUGGGCGUAAAGCGAGCGCAGGCGGUUUCUUAAGUCUGAUGUGAAAGCCCCCGGCUCAACCGGGGAGGGUCAUUGGAAACUGGGAGACUUGAGUGCAGAAGAGGAGAGUGGAAUUCCAUGUGUAGCGGUGAAAUGCGUAGAUAUAUGGAGGAACACCAGUGGCGAAGGCGGCUCUCUGGUCUGUAACUGACGCUGAGGCUCGAAAGCGUGGGGAGCAAACAGGAUUAGAUACCCUGGUAGUCCACGCCGUAAACGAUGAGUGCUAAGUGUUGGAGGGUUUCCGCCCUUCAGUGCUGCAGCUAACGCAUUAAGCACUCCGCCUGGGGAGUACGACCGCAAGGUUGAAACUCAAAGGAAUUGACGGGGGCCCGCACAAGCGGUGGAGCAUGUGGUUUAAUUCGAAGCACGCGAAGAUCUUACCAGGUCUUGACAUCGUUUGACCACUCUAGAGAUAGAGCUUCCCCUUCGGGGGCAAAGUGACAGGUGUUGCAUGGUUGUCGUCAGCUCGUGUCGUGAGAUGCUGGGUUAA
This 1073-nucleotide ribosomal RNA is filed under the name uncultured bacterium. Its description in RNAcentral is "bacterial SSU rRNA". It matches the Rfam family "Bacterial small subunit ribosomal RNA", at positions 36 to 1083 of the family's 1533-position model. The record is from RNAcentral.